CAUCGAAAUUCAAUCCUAGGCAGGCCUUGCCUUGACAAAGCAGAACAGAUCACAUGUCCACAUGCCCUUGACAAAAAAACACUUUUCAAUUCAUUCGGAAAUAGUACAAAAUAGUACACACAACAAAAAUAACCCAAAAUUUUCCCAGGAUGCCGAACGUUGUAGACGAGAAUGGCCGACCACUGGCAACAAUUUUGGCAAUUGCUGACGAGUUGGGUAAUUACUUCGAUAAAGAUAUUCCCCCAUCUCCCUAUAGAUUUGUAGAUCCCACUUUUCAGAGCGAACUCAUCUGGCACGCUCGCCACAAGUGCUGAAGAGUCUAGAGUACAUUCGAGAUUCGGAGGACGAGAUGGGCCAGACCGAACGCCGGCGCUUGAGCCGUAGAUACGAUUCGGGUGUAUAAAGGAGCUCCAGCCACUGGGGCCACAUACGUCACAACAAAGCUCACCCGCCCAUAACCAGAGACACCUGCCAAGGUGUUUGGCUGACAAUUAAUGGUACAACUUUUCACAUUCCCAUCCAAGAUCCUCGAGCAAAGCAAACAAAGCAAUCGACCAGAGCCUCACGCGAAGAGAGCUGAAGGGUUCGGGCUCGAAGAACGCAAACAAAUUGUGACAAAGUUGCGGAAAUUUAAUUAAAAUCAAAUAGUCGUACAACUAAACUAAACCCAUGCGAACCCAAGCAAAAGGGGUAGAAAAUUCUCAGUCAGCUGUGACCCGGUAGUUUCCAGCACGUAAUUCGAGCAGCUCCGAAGCACGCUGGCGGUCUGUAGCUGGGUUUCCGCGUCGUUUAAUAAACAAAAUGCAAACAAAGUUUAACAGCAAUGACACACAUGGAUUUCUCCGUCCCUGCCCCCCUCGCUCACUGCCAGUUGUUGUUAUUGGCCUUUUUAUUAAUAUAAUUUAUGAGCCUGUGGUUGCGGGGCGGGUGUCAGCAAGGUGGAAAUGCAAAUAGAGCCGAGCCGAGCCGAGCCCGAACUAACUCGGCAGCUGCUUCAAUUCACAGCGCAUACAUUUGAUUAACUUAAUUUAAUAGUAUUUCUUUUUUCACUGUUUUUGUUCACUUCCAGCUCAUUUUGAUAUAUUUGUUUGUUUCCCUAAUUUAUUAUUAUAGUAGUUAGGGCCGUGCCCGAGCUUGGUUAACAGCCUGAAAUGCGAUUAUAUAGCCAUCGAUCAUGUUGAACGGAGCUUGAGAGAAUGCCUGUUGGCGAAUUAAAGUGUAAAUUGAAUUGAUUCGACCAUUUAAAUAACCAAAUCUUAUCUACAGACCAUGUUCAAAUUACAAUAAAGAAAGAUCAGAU
Molecule: long non-coding RNA, 1300 nt
Filed under: Drosophila guanche
Lineage: Eukaryota; Metazoa; Arthropoda; Insecta; Diptera; Drosophilidae
Source: RNAcentral